CGCCAAUUCAUGCCGCCCGUCUGUCGGAAGCAACCCAACGCUAUUUGCGUAUUCAGAAGAAGAGUACCUCAAAACUUUUCGUUUUUGAAAACACGCUUGUUUUGAGAGACAGGCCCAGCAACCAGCGUGCAAAUUCCCACCACACGAAGCUUCUUCACGGGCUCUAAACUCAACCGACCAUGCUAGGAUCUGCUGAGAUCCUAGGCAAAGUAUAUCUUGACUCGGAAGUUGGGAAGUCUCGAAGAGCUGGAUAGUUCUAAAGUGAGGACAGCGGCCAGCAAAAAAGCGGUUGCUGGGGCGAAAAAACGGCGGACGUCAGGCAGCAUCCACAAUCACCAUUUAUCUGGCCGCCUACUCUUUCGCACGUCGUUACUAUUUCCCUGGAACAUUUUAAAGUGGGUAAACUGUACCAGUCUUGGCUGUUCGCGAUUGUUCGGACCGCUUUGAUCUUGUAUCCUGAGAAAUGUACCGAGCCUGAGUAAUGUAGUGUAUUUCUUGUAAUUCUAAUAAACAUACAGGGCAUUGUUUUGUUAUUCAA
Molecule: long non-coding RNA, 538 nt
Organism: Pocillopora damicornis (cauliflower coral)
Lineage: Eukaryota; Metazoa; Cnidaria; Anthozoa; Scleractinia; Pocilloporidae
Source: RefSeq, a predicted model, not a curated record